CAACGCUACUCGCUGGAAUCCUCUCUAAGAGAGGGAUUGAAGUGCCAGCGAAACUGCUGAUAAAGUUAAUUAAAUUAGGACAGCGAUGGGGUCAUUUUUCUGACACACAUAUGCUGUUUUCUGUCUCGGAAUGGCAGGACUUUGGAGGGACGAUGUGGCAUAAAUCAAUCGAGGGGGAUGAAAAAGAGGAGAAGGAGAUAAAAGCCGUCCGCGAGCUGUGGAAUACUGUGCUAGAGACUUUAAAAGCGAUGAAAGCGGAGCGGGAAGUAGCCUGUGCAGCUGCUCAAAUGUUAGGUCCGGGAGCAGCCGCCUUAAAACCUCAAGGCAAGCCUGGACCUACUGCGCGGUUCUUCGGACUGCCCGGGUAAAGGGAAUGACCGGGUCCACAUGUAAAACUGUUGCUGAAAUUCGAGCUAAUGAGACCCCUGACCCUCCUGGGGAGGGAAAAGAUUUGCCGCUAAACCCCUUACAAAACUCGGAAAAAGCGGAAGCAACUGGUGCUAAGCCAAAACAGAAAAGUAACGCACAUGCGGAAGUGCCUGCUCAGAAAACUCCAGCAGAGGAGGGGCCUGAAACAUCUACGGAUCUCAUGGAUUUGGGAGGAGCAGCGGCUCGGCCUCCGCCCACGGCACCUCCUCCCGCACCUCCGCCUGCCGUGUAUCCACCGCUACCCCCCUCCAGCGACUCCUCUGGUCCGUCAACUCCGCCUCCCGACAAGAGUCGUGAACUGUCCUCAGACACCACAGAAAAAAUGUUACAGACAGUUUUAAGGCGGUUCGAGGAGUUAGACUUACGUGUGGGGAGGAAGGAUGAUAACACGCCUUCAUGGCUAGUGAAUCCCUCAACACCUCCGAGGACUACACGCUGGAGUGGCGUUAUUAGAGACGCUAUAUUAGAAGGACAGUGGGGAGCAGCCGCUAGUCUGGGCGGAACUCCACCUUUUGCAUGUCCUGUCAUACAAGAAAACAAUACUGGAAAAUGGGAACCACAUGAUUGGAAAAUUCUACAACAAGCUCGCACCACCAUCUCAACUUAUGGAGUAAAAUCUGAAGCUACCCGACAAAUUGUCAGCUGGAUUUUUUCUGCGGAUCUGAUGUGUCCAUAUGAUUGCCGUAACCUCAUGAGACUGUUACUCACUCCAACACAAUAUUUGUUGUGGGAGUCCUCCUGGCAACAACGAGCCAUGAAUGAAGC
RNAcentral lists this long non-coding RNA (1194 nucleotides) under Calidris pygmaea (Spoon-billed sandpiper). Its description in RNAcentral is "lncRNA (ENSCPGG00000014778.1)". The record is from RNAcentral. Lineage: Eukaryota; Metazoa; Chordata; Aves; Charadriiformes; Scolopacidae.